GACGAACGCUGGCGGCGUGCUUAACACAUGCAAGUCGAACGAAGAGCGACGGAAGCUUGCUUCUAUCAAUCUUAGUGGCGAACGUGUGAGUAACGCGUAAUCAACCUGCCCUUCAGAGGGGGACAACAGUUGGAAACGACUUCUUAUACCGCAUACGAUCUAACCUCGGCAUCGAGGAUAGAUGAAAGGUGGCCUCUAUAUGUAAGCUAUCACUGAAGGCGGGGUUUGCGUCUGAUUAGCUAGUUGGAGGGGUAACGGCCCACCAAGGCGAUGAUCAGUAGCCGGUAGGAGAGGAUGAACGGCCACAUUGGGAGGGAGACACGGCCCAGACUGCUACGGGAGGAAGCAGGGAGGAAUCUUCCGCAAGGGACGAAAGACUGACGGAGAAACGCCGAGUGAGUGAUGACGGCCGUCGGGUUGUAAAGCUCUGUUUAUCGGGACGAAAGGUCUUCUUGCGAAUAGGGAGAAGGAUUGACGGUACCGGAAUAGAAAGCCACGGCUAACUAAGUG
This 510-nucleotide ribosomal RNA is filed under the name uncultured bacterium. Its description in RNAcentral is "partial 16S ribosomal RNA". It matches the Rfam family "Bacterial small subunit ribosomal RNA", at positions 28 to 507 of the family's 1533-position model. The record is from RNAcentral.